UACGGAGGGGGCAAGCGUUAUCCGGAUUUACUGGGUGUAAAGGGAGCGUAGACGGCGAUGCAAGUCUGAAGUGAAAGGCGGGGGCCCAACCCCCGGACUGCUUUGGAAACUGUAUGGCUGGAGUGCAGGAGAGGUAAGUGGAAUUCCUAGUGUAGCGGUGAAAUGCGUAGAUAUCAGGAGGAAUACCGUUAGCGAAGGCGGCAAUCUGGCUGGAAACUGACGCUGAGGUGCGAAAGCGUGGGUAGCAAACAGG
This 253-nucleotide ribosomal RNA is filed under the name uncultured Eubacteriales bacterium. RNAcentral describes it as "uncultured Clostridiales bacterium partial 16S ribosomal RNA". It matches the Rfam family "Bacterial small subunit ribosomal RNA", at positions 524 to 776 of the family's 1533-position model. The record is from RNAcentral. Lineage: Bacteria; Bacillati; Bacillota; Clostridia; Eubacteriales.